Long non-coding RNA from Chenopodium quinoa (quinoa), 751 nucleotides. RefSeq lists it as uncharacterized. The record is from RefSeq and is a predicted model, not a curated record. The transcript has 3 exons. NCBI's taxonomy places the organism in Eukaryota, Viridiplantae, Streptophyta, Magnoliopsida, Caryophyllales, Amaranthaceae.
AUCAAAAAAAACGAAAAACUACAGCGAUGCCAAACACCCAUAUUAGUAGUUUUACCUCUAUAUUGACUACUUUGGGCCUUUGUUCCCUAUAUAAAUUAAACUAAUUUUCUUGUCUAAAAAAAAAAAUAAAACUAAUUUUAGAUAGACCAAAUAAUUUUGUUUACACGGGUUUUGAACCGGACCGGAUCGGACAAUUAGGAAUGCAGGCUGGGUGUAUAAACAAAGUCAAAUUCUUGAAGGCACAGAACACAAUCUCUCCUAAAAUAAAGAUGGCGCAACAUGAAUCAACCAAGGCUGGGUUUCUGGAAUUAGUCCCAUUUUUCGUCGUCCUUCUCAUGGCUGCUCAUCUUAUAGCUUUGGUAUACUGGAUGUUCAGAUUAGCUACUGAGAAGCAGCAACCAUUUUCUGGAAGAUCCAAACAACACUGAUACUACCUCUCUCUGCAUUCUCUAUGUUAUUUGACUGUAUAUGCGCUGCUUGCUGCACACAACAGAAGAAAUGUGACGAAGAUAGAGAUAAUGUCAACCUGGAAGUUUCCUUCAGAGAAUCAUUGUUUUUAUUGGUUAUUGCUAUCAGGGUGCGCAAUGGUUUUGAACUGGAAUGCCGGAAACAUAUGUAUUGCUCUACAUUCCAAGUGAAUAUAACACCAUUUUUACCAUAUACACCACUGUUAUGGACCAACUGUAAGUUGGCCUAAAAAUAUACUCAUCAACAUUUUUAUCUAAUAUACUGUUUCUGUUUCACAAUGCAA